RNAcentral lists this long non-coding RNA (1275 nucleotides) under Bos indicus x Bos taurus (hybrid cattle). Its description in RNAcentral is "lncRNA (ENSBIXG00005019299.1)". Lineage: Eukaryota; Metazoa; Chordata; Mammalia; Artiodactyla; Bovidae. The record is from RNAcentral.
CUUUUGCCUUAGACUUCACAAAGGCAGCUUACUCCAGGGAAGCUGAGGACGCACAUCUUCUUGCUUUUUUUUAUAUAAAAGAUUAAUUAAUUAGGCUGCGCCAGGUCUUAGCUGUGCUAUGUGGGAUCUCUUACUUGCAGCAUGCGAAUCUUUUAGUUGUGGCAUACGAACUCUUAGAGGUGGCAUGUGGAAUCUAGCUCCCCGAAAAGGGACCGAACUUGGGCCCCCUUGCGCUGGGAGCAGGGAGUCUUAGCCCCUGGCCCACCAGGGAAGUCCCUCCCUUGCUUCCUGAAAGCUGGGCCUGGGUCCAAUCCCUCUCUGGUUCCCUCGUCACAUUUAAUGCACAGCCCCUUACCCACAGCAGGUGAGGGGCCCGAGGCUACGGUGCUGAUUGAUCAUGGGGAAAGGGACCGGGUGCCCCAGCCUCUCUUUUCUUUGUCCUCCAUGUACCUUCCCUCUUUGAACCUUAGCAGCUGCAAGGCUGCUGCGCUGCCUGGCCCCAUGAAGCCCUCACACCUGAUGAAGGAGCACCCAGCCCAGAGGACUGUAAACACGAUGGGACCUGGACCCUAGAAACAGAGCGCCGACGGGCACCUGACUUCCGGCGGCCCGCUCCUCCUCUUCCGUUCACCUCCGUCCCUUUGCGCUGCUGGCUGGAGCUGAGGGCGGGAUAGCGAAUCAAAGAGCCUAACUCAGUGUUAACAUGAGACCAUCUCCCCUGGCAUAACCUGGCUGGCUUCCCCGUGGACCCUGGAAAUGACACUCACCUGGAGAACAGAAGCCAAGCCCUGCGAGACCUCACAUCGCUGCCUGCCUGCAUCCCUCCGCCACCACCUCCCCCUCGUGUGUGGCAGCAGCCUUCCAGCUGGUCCUCCUGCUUUCAGGAUCUCCCCUCUGUUGCACUUUCCCACAGCCUCCAGGUGACCCUCCAAUACACCCUGCCUGACCCUUGCAGUGGCGCACAGGUUAACCCACAGGUUAGCAGUCAACCCCCCGGGAAUGAUAUUCAAGGGUCCCCUGGACCCAGCCCCACCAGGCUCUUCUGCCUCCCCACCUACUCAUGUGGCUUCCACAUAAUGACCCAGCUACAGCAGCCAGCUCCGUUUUCCUGUGCCCCAGGCUAGUUCUAGCCUUAGAUUUGCUGUGCUCUCUACCUGUGUGUGUGCUAAGUCACUUCAGUCAUGUCCGACUCUUUGUGACCCCAUGGACUGUAGCCCGCCAGGCUCCUCUGUCCAUGAAAUUCUCCAGGCAAGAAUAAACUGGAGUGGGUAGUCA